CUCUUCUGUAACCUUGGGGAAAACAUCAAAAUCGAUACUUACAAAAAGCAUGGUGAAUGGAUGCAGAAGGAAGAUCUGAAUAUUCUCCUACUAUAAAAGCAUUUGAAUGUCCACAAAAAGAAUACUAAAGAAGACUCAAUAGGAUUGGGCACCUGCUCACAGAAAACCCAAUGAUUACAGCUAUUUCACAGCAACUACCCAAAAACAUCUACAGACGGCAUUACUCUUACAGUCAAUCCAAGACCAGAAAACUCUCCGUCC
This is a long non-coding RNA of Homo sapiens (human), 261 nucleotides long. RefSeq lists it as uncharacterized. The record is from RefSeq and is a predicted model, not a curated record. Lineage: Eukaryota; Metazoa; Chordata; Mammalia; Primates; Hominidae. The transcript has 3 exons.